Cajanus cajan (pigeon pea) is the source of this 2306-nucleotide non-coding RNA. Lineage: Eukaryota; Viridiplantae; Streptophyta; Magnoliopsida; Fabales; Fabaceae. The record is from RefSeq and is a predicted model, not a curated record.
AUGGGUAAGAAGCUUGAUGCUCUCCUUGGUAGAACCUUCAAGGCUUCAAAGUUCAAGGCAACUGUUAACCUUGCCACCUCACGCAUAGCUGUUCUCAAGAACCAGCGCCAUGCUCGCCUUAGACAUGCACGUUCUGAUGUGCUUGAACUCCUCCAACUUGGUCACCAAGAACGAGCCUCACUUAGAGCUGAGCAUGUGAUAAAGGAUCAGAACAUGUUGGAUGUGUAUGACAUGAUUGAGGGAUACUGCAACCUCUUGAUUGAAAGGGUCCACCUCAUUGAACAAGAAAGAGAAUGUCCCGAGGAACUGAAGGAGGCAGCAUCUGGAUUACUCUAUGCAGCUUCUAGGUGUGGAGAUUUCCCAGAAAUUCAAGAGAUUCGCGGUGUUCUGACCACGCGGUUUGGCAAGGAAUUUGCUGCUCGUGCUAUCGAGUUGAGGAAUAACUGUGGAGUUCAUCCUCAGAUUAUACAAAAGAUGUCAACAAGGAUGCCAAGCUUGGAGAUCAGAAUGAAGGCACUCAAAGACAUUGCUUCUGAGAAUGGUAUUGUUCUGCAGCUUGAAGAAACUUCUGUGUCGGUUGAGGAACACUUCAAUUUGGAAAAGCAAAACCUGCAUGAACCUGAGAAAAAGGAAGAGAAUGCAAGCAUUUUGCCUAGUAGAGGGAAAGAUGAGGAGUUAACUGAUUCCUUUAAGGGCAGGCAAAAGUACAAGGACGUGGCUGAUGCAGCACAAGCAGCUUUUGAGUCAGCAGCAUAUGCUGCAGCUGCUGCAAGAGCAGCACUGGAACUCUCCCGAUCUGAAUCACAUGAUCCUGAUGAUCAUGAUAGUCCAAGCCCCCAACCAAGAAAAGUAGAGGAUGAUGGACAUGAUAAUGUGAGGCCUCCACCGGAAGAAAAUGAAAUCCUCAGUGAAACAGAAGAAGAAUUUGACAAGGAUAUAGAUGACAUAAAAAGGCCAAAAGACAUUAUAAGUUGCAAUUCAACCGAUGAGAUUUUGAAGGGGGCUGAAAUUGAUGCUGAUCCUUUGGAAAAGGAAAUAGUUUUUGAUGAAACUGAUGAAGAGACUGAUAAUGAACAUAAAAGAAAUCAAUCUUCUAAGACUUCUUCAGAGUAUGGUGCUGGAAUUGAGGUUGGUUCAGGUUCUAGGAAACUAGUAUUAAAUACAGUGGCAGGAUCCGAGAUGCAGAGCGUGCCUCAGUUGGAUUUGCAGAAGAGGCCAAUUUCAGUGAGGACAAGAUGAAUGCAAAAUUACUGAGUAAUGGGUGCAAGUAGCACGCAAUGUUGCAUUGCAUAUGAUUGAAGUUUUGCUGGUACCUUCUGGACAUGGACAUGGACAUGGGAAACAGGCUGAUAUUUGAUCAUACACGGAAAUAUAUGACUGUAGAAGAAACCUUAAAAAAUAAGAGAAUUCGAAGUUACAAAUUGAUCUUCAAUGGGAUCUCCUAUUUGACAUCAGGGUUUUCUUCCUCUCAAAGUGCGUCUAUGGCUUCCGCAUCUCAGUUCUCUAUCUCUCAAUCGUUUCUGAACUCCAUUGCUGAGAAGCUUGAUGAUUCGAACUAUCUCCACUGGAAGCAAUAUGGUGAACCAGUUGAACCAGUGAUCAAAUCGCACAAGUUACAACAAUUUGUGGUAAAUCUGGUGGUUCUGCAUGCGAAGUUCAAGAUCAAACGUUACUUGUUUAGCUUCAAUCUACUCUUUCUUAGUCAGUUUUUUCUCGUGUUCUUGGAUAGACUCACUCCUAUCAAGUUUGGGAGAAGACUCACGAGUAUUUUGGUCUUCAAACAAAAUCUUGUGCGUGACAGUUGCUCUCUGCCAUGCCUAUUGUUCGUCUCGAAAACAAAUCGAUGGAAGAGUAUCUUCAUAAGAUCAAAAGCUUUAUUGAUGAACUUGCAGGAGUUGGAGUUCAUGAUGGAAAUCAAUAUCCAAGGAUGCCUUUGGAAGAGGUAAGAUCAAGAAGGGUGAAGGUUAAUUCAUAGGAGAGCUCACACUUGAAGACCAUUAGGCCUUUAACUAGAUUCAUGGUUAGGAAAGGAGACUUCUAUAGAGGAGGUGCUUCUUAAAGCUUUACUCAAUAUGAGCAUUGAGUAUGAUUCUUCUUUUUAGUCUCAUAGUCUCUUUGUACAUAUCUUGUAUAGUUUGAGUUAUUGUACCUUGUAUAUAGUAGAUACUUGUAUAUGUGUAUUUUUCCUUUAUAUUUGUAAGGUACCUUUUCCUUUUCUUAUAGGUCAUCCUUUUAGGAUUUUAGGGUAUAAUGUUUGAAGACUUUUGAUCCAUUUGACUUUGUAUUAAGGUUCAUUGAUUUUCAUA